AGCAGCAUGGCGCAGUGGGAGCGCGCGGGGCUCAUAACCCCGAGGUCACUUGAUCGAAACAAGUUGCUGCUA
Molecule: non-coding RNA, 72 nt
Organism: Hygrophoropsis aurantiaca
Lineage: Eukaryota; Fungi; Basidiomycota; Agaricomycetes; Boletales; Hygrophoropsidaceae
Source: the annotation of a GenBank genome assembly